This 70-nucleotide transfer RNA is filed under the name Loxodonta africana (African savanna elephant). It matches the Rfam family "tRNA". From Rfam's summary of the family: Transfer RNA (tRNA) molecules are approximately 80 nucleotides in length. The record is from Rfam by way of RNAcentral. Lineage: Eukaryota; Metazoa; Chordata; Mammalia; Proboscidea; Elephantidae.
GCAUUGGUGGUUCAGUGGUAGAAUUCUCACUUUCCAUGUGGGAGACUGGGUUCAAUUCCUGACUAGUGCA